This is a long non-coding RNA of Acanthochromis polyacanthus (spiny chromis), 6192 nucleotides long. RefSeq lists it as uncharacterized. NCBI's taxonomy places the organism in Eukaryota, Metazoa, Chordata, Actinopteri, Pomacentridae. The transcript is spliced from 6 exons. The record is from RefSeq and is a predicted model, not a curated record.
AUAUGCAAAGUAUCCAGAUGGAAUAAAAAGUGCUGUGUCUUGAUCACUCUAUGAGAUGCUCUAAUCCUGCAUAGAUUUGGUGUCUGUAGGUCACAUGACUUGGGAGCUAUUGAGGUCCCAAGUCCCCGGGAGGCCGGGGUUCGAUUCCAGGUGUGUGUGAGUGAGAUAGGCACAGGGAGUAUGGGAGUGAGUGAGUGAGUGAGUGAGAUAGGCAUAGGGAGUAUAGGAGUGAAUGAGUGAGAUAGGCAUAGGGAGUAUAGCUCAGUGGGUAGAGUGGCUGGCUGCCACCCGGGAGACUGUGGUUCGAUUCCAGGUGUGAGUAAGAUAGGCAUAGGGAGUAAAGGUGUGAGUGAGUGAGAUAGGCAUAGGGACUAUAGGAGUGACUGAGAUGAAUAUAGGAGUGAGUGAGUGAGUGAGACAGGCAUAGGGAGGAUAGCUCAAUGGGUAGAGUGGCUGGCUGGCACCCAGGAGGCCGGGGUUCGAUUCUAGGUGUGAGUGAGAUAGGCAUCGGGAGUAUAGCUCAGUGGGUGAGUGAGAUAGGCAUAGGGACUAUAGGAGGGAGUGAGAUGAGUAUAGGAGUGCGUGAGAUAGGCAUAGGGAGUAUAGCUCAGUGAGUGAGUGAGUGAGUGAGAUGGGCAUAGGGAGUAUAGCUCAGUGAGUGAGUGAGUGAGUGAGAUGGGCAUAGGAAGUAUAGCUCAAUGGGUAGAGUGGCUGGCUGGCACCCGGGAGGCAGGGGUUCAAUUCCAGGAGUGAGUGAGAUAGGCAUAGGGAGUAGAGCUCAGUGGAUAGAGUGGCUGGCUGGCACCCGGGAGGCCGGGGUUCGAUUCCAGGUGUGAGUGAGAUAGGCAUAGGGAGUAGAGCUCAGUGGAUAGAGUGGCUGGCUGGCACCCGGGAGGCCGGGGUUCGAUUCCAGGUGUCAGUGAGUGAGUGAGUGGGAUAGGGAGUAUAGGAGUGAGUGUGACAGGCAUAGGGAGUAUAGGAAUGAGUGAGAUAAGCAUAGGGAGUAUAGCUCAGUGGGUUGAGUGGCUGGCUGGCACCCGGGAGUCAGGGGUUGGAUUCCAGGUGUGAGUGAGAUAGGCAUCGGGAGUAUAGGAGUGAAUGAGUGAGAUGAGUGUUGGAGUGAGUGAGUGAGAUAGGCAUAGGGAGUAUCGCUUCGUGGGUAGAGUGGCUGGCUGGCACCGGGGAGGCCGGGGUUCGAUUCCAGGUGUGAGUGAGACAGGCAUAGGGAGUAUAGGAGUGAGUGAGUGAGACAGGCAUAGGAGUGAGUGAGUGAGAUAGGCAUAUGGACUAUAGGAGUGAGUGAGAGAGAUGAGUCUAGGAGUGAGUGAGAUAGGCAUAGGGAGUAGAGCUCAAUGGGUAGAGAGGCUGGCUGGCACCCGGGAGGCAGGGGUUCAAUUCCAGGUGUGAGUAAGAUAGGCAUAGGGAGUAUAGGAGUGAGUGAGUGAGAUGGGCAUAGGGAGUAUAGCUCAAUGGGUAGAGUGGCUGGCUGGCACCCGAGAGGCCAGGGUUCGAUUCCAGGAGUGAUUGAGAUAGGCGUCGGGAGUAUAGCUCAGUGGGUGAGUGAGAUAGGCAUAGGCAGUAUAGCUCAGUGGGUAGAGUGGCUGGCUGGCACCCGGGAGGCCAGGGUUCGAUUACAGGUGUCAGUGAGUGAGAUCGGCAUAGGGAGUAUAGGUAUAGGAGUGAGUGAGUGAGUGAGUGAGAUAGGCAGAGGGAGUAUAGCUCAGUGGGUAGAGAGGCUGGCUGCCACCCGGGAGGCCAGGGUUCGAUUACAGGAGUGAGUGAGUGAGAUAGGCAGAGGGAGUAUAGCUCAGUGGGUAGAGAGGCUGGCUGCCACCCGGGAGACUGGGGUUCGAUUCCAGGUGUGAGUUAGAAAGGCAUGGGGAGUAUAGGUGUGAGUGAGUGAGAUAGGCAUAGGGACUAUAGCAGUGAGUGAGAUGAGUAUAGGAGUGCGUGAGAUAGGCAUAGGGAAUAUGUGAGUGAGAUAGGCAUAGGCAGUAUCGCUCAGUGGGGAGAGUGGCUGGCUGGCACCCGGGAGUCCGGGGUUGGAUUCCAGGUGUGAGUGAGAUAGGCAUAGGGAGUAUAAAAGUGAGUGAGUGAGAUAGGCAUUGGGAGUAUAGGAGUCAAUGAGUGAGAUGAGUAUAGGCAGAGAGAGUAUAGGAGUGAGUGAGAUAGGGAGGAUAGGAUUGAGUGAGUCAGAUAGGCAUAGUGAGGAUAGGAGUGAGUGAGAUAGGCAUAGGGAGUAUAGAAGUGAGUGAGAUUGGGAGAAUAGGAGUGAGUGAGUGAGUCAGAUAGGCAUAGUGAGUAUAGGAGUGAGUGAGAUAGGCAUAGGGAGUAUAGCUCAGGGGGUAGAGUGGCUGGCUGGCACCCGAGAGGCCGGGGUUCGAUUCCGUGAGUGAGAUAGGCAUAGGCAGUGUAGCUCAGUGGGUGGAGUGGCUGGCUGGCACCCGGGAGGCCAGGGUUCAAUUCCAGAUGUGAGUAAGUGAGAUAGGCAUAGGGAGUAGAGCUCAGUGGGUGAGUGAGAUAGGCAUAGGGACUAUAGGAGGGAGUGUGGUGAGUAUAGGAGUGCGUGAGAUCGGCAUAGGGAGUAUAGCUCAGUGAGUGAGUGAGUGAGAUAGGCAUAGGGAGUAUAGCUCAGGGGGUAGAGUGGCUGGCUGGCACCCGGGAGGCCGGGGUUCGAUUCCAGGAGUGAGUGAGUGAGAUAGGCAUAGGGAGUAUAGAAGUGAGUGAGAUUGGGAGAAUAGGAGUGAGUGAGUGAGUCAGAUAGGCAUAGUGAGUAUAGGAGUGAGUGAGAUAGGCAUAGGGAGUAUAGCUCAGGGGGUAGAGUGGCUGGCUGGCACCCGAGAGGCCGGGGUUCGAUUCCGUGAGUGAGAUAGGCAUAGGCAGUGUAGCUCAGUGGGUGGAGUGGCUGGCUGGCACCCGGGAGGCCAGGGUUCAAUUCCAGAUGUGAGUAAGUGAGAUAGGCAUAGGGAGUAGAGCUCAGUGGGUGAGUGAGAUAGGCAUCGGGACUAUAGCUCAAUGGGUAGAGUGGCUGGCUGGCACCCGGGAGGCAGGGGUUCAAUUCCAGGUGUGAGUAAGAUAGGCAUAGGGAGUAUAGGAGUGAGUGAGUGAGAUGGGCAUAGGGAGUAGAGCUCAAUGGGUAGAGAGGCUGGCUGGCACCCGGGAGGCAGGGGUUCAAUUCCAGGUGUGAGUGAGUGAGAUAGGCAUAGUGAGUAUAGGAAUGAGUGACUGAGAUAGGCAGAGAGAGUAUAGCUCAGUGGGUAGAGUGGCUGGCUGGCACCCGGGAGGCCGGGGUUCGAUUCCAGGUGUGAGCAAGACAGGCAUAGGGAGUAUAGGAGUGAGUGAGUGAGAUAGGCAUAUGGACUAUAGGAGUGAGUGAGUGAGAGAGAUGAGUAUAGGAGUGAGUGAGAUAGGCAGAGGGAGUAUAGCUCAGUGGGUAGAGUGGCUGGCUGGCACCCAGGAGGCCGGGGUUCGAUUUCAGGUGUGAGUGAGUGAGAUAGGCAUAGGGAGUAGAGCUCAGUGGGUGAGUGAGAUAGGCAUCGGGACUAUAGCUCAAUGGGUAGAGUGGCUGGCUGGCACCCGGGAGGCAGGGGUUCAAUUCCAGGUGUGAGUAAGAUAGGCAUAGGGAGUAUAGGAGUGAGUGAGUGAGAUGGGCAUAGGGAGUAUAGCUCAAUGGGUAGAGUGGCUGGCUGGCACCCGAGAGGCCAGGGUUCGAUUCCAGGAGUGAUUGAGAUAGGCGUCGGGAGUAUAGCUCAGUGGGUGAGUGAGAUAGGCAUAGGCAGUAUAGCUCAGUGGGUAGAGUGGCUGGCUGGCACCCGGGAGGCCAGGGUUCGAUUACAGGUGUCAGUGAGUGAGAUCGGCAUAGGGAGUAUAGGUAUAGGAGUGAGUGAGUGAGAUAGGCAGAGGGAGUAUAGCUCAGUGGGUAGAGAGGCUGGCUGCCACCCGGGAGGCCAGGGUUCGAUUACAGGUGUCAGUGAGUGAGAUCGGCAUAGGGAGUAUAGGUAUAGGAGUGAGUGAGUGAGAUAGGCAGAGGGAGUAUAGCUCAGUGGGUAGAGAGGCUGGCUGCCACCCGGGAGACUGGGGUUCGAUUCCAGGUGUGAGUUAGAAAGGCAUGGGGAGUAUAGGUGUGAGUGAGUGAGAUAGGCAUAGGGACUAUAGCAGUGAGUGAGAUGAGUAUAGGAGUGCGUGAGAUAGGCAUAGGGAAUAUGUGAGUGAGAUAGGCAUAGGCAGUAUCGCUCAGUGGGGAGAGUGGCUGGCUGGCACCCGGGAGUCCGGGGUUGGAUUCCAGGUGUGAGUGAGAUAGGCAUAGGGAGUAUAAAAGUGAGUGAGUGAGAUAGGCAUUGGGAGUAUAGGAGUCAAUGAGUGAGAUGAGUAUAGGCAGAGAGAGUAUAGGAGUGAGUGAGAUAGGGAGGAUAGGAUUGAGUGAGUGAGUCAGAUAGGCAUAGUGAGGAUAGGAGUGAGUGAGAUAGGCAUAGGGAGUAUAGAAGUGAGUGAGAUUGGGAGAAUAGGAGUGAGUGAGUGAGUCAGAUAGGCAUAGUGAGUAUAGGAGUGAGUGAGAUAGGCAUAGGGAGUAGAGCUCAGUGGGUGAGUGAGAUAGGCAUAGGGACUAUAGGAGGGAGUGUGGUGAGUAUAGGAGUGCGUGAGAUCGGCAUAGGGAGUAUAGCUCAGUGACUCAGUGAGUGAGUGAGAUGGGCAUAGGGAGUAUAGCUCAGUGGGAAGUGUGGCUGGCUGGCUCCCGGAAGGCCGGGGUUCGAUUCCAGGUUUGAGUGAGUGAGAUAGGCAUAGGGAGUAUAGCUCAGUGGGUGAGUGAGAUAGGCAUAGGGAGUAUAGGAAUGAGUGAGAUAAGCAUCGGCAGUAUAGCUCAGUGGGAAGAGUGGCUGGCUGGCACCCGGGAGGCCGGGGUUCGAUUCCAGGUGUGAGCAAGACAGGCAUAGGGAGUAUAGGAGUGAGUGAGUGAGAUAGGCAUAUGGACUAUAGGAGUGAGUGAGUGAGAGAGAUGAGUAUAGGAGUGAGUGAGAUAGGCAUAGGGAGUAGAGCUCAAUGGGUAGAGAGGCUGGCUGGCACCUGGGAGUCCGGGGUUGGAUUCCAGGUGUGACCGACAUAGGCAUAGGGAGUAUAGGUAUAGGAGUGAGUGAGAUAGGCAGAGGGAGUAUAGCUCAGUGGGUAGAGUGGCUGGCUGGCACCCAGGAGGCCGGGGUUUGAUUUCAGGUGUGAGUGAGUGAGAUAGGCAUAGGGAGGAUAGCUCAAUGGGUGAGUGAGAUAGGCAUAGGGAGUAUAGGAAUGAGUGAGAUAAGCAUCGGGAGUAUAGGAGUGAGUGAGAUAGGCAUAGGGAGGAUAGCUCAAUGGGUUGAGUGGCUGGCUGGCACCCGGGAGGCCGGGGUUUGAUUCCAGGUGCGAGUGAGAUAGGCAUAGUGAGUAUCGGAGUGAGUGAGAUAGGCAUAGGGAGUAUAGCUCAGUGGAUUGGCUGGCUGGCACCCGGGAGGCCGGGGUUCAAUUCCAGGUGUGAGUGAGUGAGAUAGGCAUAGGGAGUAUAGGAGUGAGUGAGAUAGGCAUAGUGAGUAUCGGAGUGAGUGAGAUAGGCAUAGGGAGUAUAGCUCAGUGGAUAGAGUGGCUGGCUGGCUGGCACCCGGGAGGCCGGGGUUCAAUUCCAGGUGUGAGUGAGUGAGAUAGGCAUAGGGAGUAUAGGAGUGAGUGAGAUAGGCAUAGGGAGUAUAGGAGUGGUUGAGUCAGUCUUUGCUCUUCCUUUUUCUGCCUCACGUAAGUUAACCGAUAAUUAUCAAUGAAAUAAGUAUCCAAUCGACUGAGCCCGUAACACACGUGCUGCUCAAUAUCCAGAACACCAUUUGGAGUCAGAGUUGUGCGAUGGGUCGUUUGAAAAAAGGCAGACAAAGGAAGAGCAAAGACCUGACGUGACGUUAUGUUACAUUAUGUUAUGAUACAUUACGGCACUCAAAUAUAGGGAUUCGUAGUUUAUAGAUCCUUUGUCACACUUAGAAACAUUGAAUGAACAUUUGGACACAAUUAAUAUGUUUUGUGAAUUUUUCAUGUAUUUUAUACUGUAAUUAUGAGCAUUACAGCUCUAUAAGUCCCAGGUCAUGUGAUCUUUUGGCUAAAUAGAUUUAGACCUGGUUUAUUACACAGACUUUAUUAUUGCUUUUGGAGACUAUUAAUAUUUUUUUAGUGAGUUUUUAAUUA